GCCCUUGUAACUCAGCAGGUAGAGUACUUGCAUGGUAAGCAAGAAGUCACCGGUUCAAGUCCGGUCAAGGGCUCCA
This 76-nucleotide transfer RNA is filed under the name Bacillota bacterium. RNAcentral's name for it is "tRNA-Thr". It matches the Rfam family "tRNA". Rfam says of the family: Transfer RNA (tRNA) molecules are approximately 80 nucleotides in length. Their secondary structure includes four short double-helical elements and three loops (D, anti-codon, and T loops). RNAcentral also lists the same sequence under 2 other names. Lineage: Bacteria; Bacillati; Bacillota. The record is from RNAcentral.